GGGCAAAUCUGUGGAAACGCAGAGACGCAAAACUGGGAGUCUAACGUGACAAAUGGGGUGUGACGUCAGUCCUUUUGUUGCUAUGAUAGUUCGGUUGCA
RNAcentral lists this non-coding RNA (99 nucleotides) under bovine gut metagenome. RNAcentral describes it as "Cyclic di-GMP-I riboswitch". It matches the Rfam family "c-di-GMP-I riboswitch aptamer", at positions 12 to 83 of the family's 87-position model. From Rfam's summary of the family: GEMM was predicted in a large-scale screen for bacterial structured RNA regulatory elements. Genes associated with GEMM are involved in a diverse array of functions, including chemotaxis regulation, signal transduction, secretion and chitin. The record is from RNAcentral.